This is a non-coding RNA of Oncorhynchus mykiss (rainbow trout), 3883 nucleotides long. NCBI's taxonomy places the organism in Eukaryota, Metazoa, Chordata, Actinopteri, Salmoniformes, Salmonidae. The record is from RefSeq and is a predicted model, not a curated record.
AGAAGGUAAAGGAAGUAGCUAAGCUAACAGUUUGACAUGAAUAAGCAGUUCACUUGGAGAUGUGCUUUCAAAGAAGCCAGCUACUGUUUUGAAACGUUUGAUAAUGUUGGUUUUAAUUGUCCAUACAUGGCUAGCUAGCUAGUUACAUAAGUUAACUGUUUGUUUUGCACACAUUGCCAAGGAAGACCCAAGUGCUCGCAGCUAACGUUAGCUUGCUCUGCAUGGCAUAUAACAACGUUACUGUUAUGCUAACGUUAGCUCGCAAGUAACAGUACAGUAGGACCGAAGAUACUGCUGGUAGAACUAGCUAACGUUACUAGCUAGCUAGCAUCUUUCCUAAGGUGUAGCGGUGGUUCAGAUAGAAGACCAGGAAAGGUACAGGAAGUGACGGUGCUUCCUUGUUGCCAUGGCGUCUGAGCUGCAGGAGGCGAUCUGCAUGGCCAAGCAGGAGCGUCACAAGAACCUGUUCCUCAACUACAGGAACCUGAACAACUUUCCGGUCGAGCUGCUGAAAGAUGAAGGACUACAGUUCCUACAGAGGCUUUAUAUGAAGAGGAACUCUCUCACCACGCUGCCGGAUAAUCUAGCACAGAAGCUCCCCAACUUAAUAGAGCUGUAUCUGCAUUCCAACAAUAUAACCUGUGUUCCUGAAGCUAUAGGUAACCUGUCCAGGCUGCAGUCUUUAGACCUGAGUGACAACGCUCUGCAAGUCAUCUGUCCAGAGAUCGGCAAGCUGAGGUCCUUACGACACCUGAAACUUGCCAACAACCAGCUGAAAUACCUGCCUCCAGAGAUUGGAGCCCUGUGUGACCUAGAGACCCUGGAUGUCAGUAGGAAUGUGUUGGUGUGUCUCCCAGAGCGGCUGCACCAGUGUCUGUCUCUCCAGUGUCUCACUGCUGACAGGAACAACCUGACCAGUUUCCCCAGACAGCUCUGCCAGCUCCACAGCCUCAACGAGCUCAGUAUGGCUGCUAACCAACUCACCUCUCUACCCCUAGAUUUGGGUCGUUCCAGAGAGCUGCAGUUUGUGUUUGUUGACAACAACGUCCACCUCAAAGGCCUUCCUUCAUACCUGUACAACAAGGUGAUUGGCUGCAGCGGGUGUGGUCUGCCAGGGCAGGUGUCUGACCGGGUGCCCCAGCCUCUGUCUCUGUCUCUGGGAGAUGUGUCUCUCCCUUUGCCUGCUGAGGUGAAAGCUAUAGGCUCAGAGACGGAGCGAGUGGGCCCCCUGGAGGAGCUCGCCAUGAGGGCCCUGCACAGCAUAUACGGGCGACAGCCAAUCAGAGAGCGGAGUCUGCUGCCGCCCUUCCUGUUACCCAGAAGCCUUCUGGACCUGCUCCAAUGCCCCCUGGGACAUUGUCACCGCUGCAGUCAGCCCAUGUUUACCAUCAUCUACCCCAAACUGUUCCCUCUCAGAGAGACCGCUCUGGCUGGGGUACACCGCAGAACCACAGUGAGUUUCGUGGCCUACUGCUGUUCCAGUCAGUGUGUUCAGACAUUUGAUCUGCAGCAAUGACAUCAUGGUGCCUCCACCUCUUCCUCUCCCCUUCGGUCAUCAUCUCCUCCUCUGGUCUCCUGGAUGAAUGAAUGAAGGAUGGAUGAAGGACUGUGGGAGUCCUGAACGUCUCAGGAGGACUUGCAUAGCCUCUGGACUGGUGGACAUGAGGAACUGAAGAUCUCAGGAGGACAUGCAUAGCCUCUGGACUGGUGGACAUGAGGAACUGACCAUCUCAGGAGGACAUGCAUAGCCUCUGGACUGGUGGACAUGAGGAACUGAAGGUCUCAGGAGGACAUGCAUAGCCUCUGGACUGGUGGACAUGAGGAACUGAAGGUCUCAGGAGGACAUGCAUAGCCUCUGGACUGGUGGACAUGAGGAACUGAAGGUCUCAGGAGAACAUGCAGAGCCUCAGCAGCCUGUGACCAGUCCAGCAGUCUGUAAUGGGCAUGGACGGUCCAAUUGAAAGACAGACAAUAUUGGUAUUAAUAAUCCACAUCUUGACAUAUCAUCUACUGUCCAACGACUAACAUCUCUAAAUACAGCAUCAUUCUACUAAUGGUUUGUUUCUGGUUUCAGUUUGUUCCAGCAACAACUCAGAGCGUGUCGGUAUUUACUGGUGUGAACUAGCUGCUCUGUUCACCAGCCAAACGUCCACCUGACAGACGCAUCACAAUAACAAGAAGUGCCGAGUGUUUUUGUCUUUGUAGAGGAGAAUCUAUUCUGAUCAUUUCUAUGGAUUUUUACAUGACACUGGUUGACAAAAAGUGUUUGAAGAAUGUCAGUUCGGCCGUAUCGCAUGAUAUUUGUUCUAAACCUGUUCUAAAUAUGUAAUACUGGUAGGUGUGUUGCCCCCCACUCCAGCCUGAAGGACUUUGACAAGAUAAUAGACACAUUUAGUUAUUGGGCGUUUCUUUUCCUGUAGACACAUCAGACUCUCAGACCUCUAACAAGUUUUUAAACUUUACAAAAUUGGUCUUUGAGGGUAAACUAUUAUUUUGCAAAAAAAGGUUAACGUCUGAAACAGUCUGGUAACCUGAAUGUUUAUGAAGGAUUUAAAACAAAAAACAAAACUUUGUUUCCAUUCAGUUUGAUUGUGACUCAAAGCAACGCUUUGGUUCUUUAGCUGAAAACCAAAGGAACUGAAGCUCAUAACAGAAGUGUUUGGGCCCUACCGUACCAGACUUGCCAAGCCCGGCUGUAGGUCCAUGCAGCAGACUCUCUGUCUUGGCUAGACGGACUGAGAGACUGGGAUAGGAGGCAGCAGACUCUCUGUCUUGGCUAGACGGACUGAGAGACUGGGAUAGGAGGCAGCAGACUCUCUGUCUUGGCUAGACGGACUGAGAGACUCCGCCAGGGUUCUGUCGAGGGUUGAGACUCCGCCAGGGUUCUGUCGAGGGUUGAGACUCUGCCAGGGUUCUGUCGAGGGUUGAGACUCUGCCAGGGUUCUGUCGAGGGUUGAGACCCCGCCAGGGUUCUGUCGAGGGUUGAGGCCCCGCCAGGGUUCUGUCGAGGGUUGAGACUCCGCCAGGGUUCUGUCGAGGGUUGAGACUCCGCCAGGGUUCUGUCGAGGGUUGAGACUCCGCCAGGGUUCUGUCGAGGGUUGAGACUCCGCCAGGGUUCUGUCGAGGGUUGAGACUCCGCCAGGGUUCUGUCGAGGGUUGAGACUCCGCCAGGGUUCUGUCGAGGGUUGAGACUACGCCAGGGUUCUGUCGAGGGUUGAGACUCCGCCAGGGUUCUGUCGAGGGUUGAGACUCCGCCAGGGUUCUGUCGAGGGUUGAGACUCCGCCAGGGUUCUGUCGAGGGUUGAGACUCCGCCAGGGUUCUGUCGAGGGUUGAGACUCCGCCAGGGUUCUGUCGAGGGUUGAGACUCCGCCAGGGUUCUGUCGAGGGUUGAGACUCCGCCAGGGUUCUGUCGAGGGUUGAGACUCCGCCAGGGUUCUGUCGAGGGUUGAGACUCCGCCAGGGUUCUGUCGAGGGUUGAGACCCCGCCAGGGUUCUGUCGAGGGUUGAGACUCCGCCAUGAAUGUCUGAAUCUCACAACUCAAGAGGAAUGGUGAACAAAAUUAUAAUUUACCUCAUCCCAAAUGGCCCCCUUUCUCCCAUGGGCCCUGGUCUAAAGUAGUGCACUGUGUAGGGAAUAAGAUGCAUCUUGAGACACAACCAGUAUGUGACAUUGGAUUAUAAAACCAGCAGCAAGAUGUCUAGAUGAGGAUUGGGUCUAUUGCCACUUUAUUUGUUUGGCUUUCUAUUGUUUAUUACAUUGUUAGAUAGUUAUUAUUAUAACAUUGUUAUAACUGUGAAUAUGAUUACUAUAUUGUAUCAUUUGUAAUCAAUUACUUUUAUUUUAAUGUCUGACAUUUUGGCAAUAAACAAUGUUUAACUUGA